UUAGAGUUUGAUCCUGGCUCAGGAUGAACGCUGGCGGCGUGCCUAAUACAUGCAAGUCGAGCGAACUGAUUAGAAGCUUGCUUCUAUGACGUUAGCGGCGGACGGGUGAGUAACACGUGGGCAACCUGCCUGUAAGACUGGGAUAACUUCGGGAAACCGAAGCUAAUACCGGAUAGGAUCUUCUCCUUCAUGGGAGAUGAUUGAAAGAUGGUUUCGGCUAUCACUUACAGAUGGGCCCGCGGUGCAUUAGCUAGUUGGUGAGGUAACGGCUCACCAAGGCAACGAUGCAUAGCCGACCUGAGAGGGUGAUCGGCCACACUGGGACUGAGACACGGCCCAGACUCCUACGGGAGGCAGCAGUAGGGAAUCUUCCGCAAUGGACGAAAGUCUGACGGAGCAACGCCGCGUGAGUGAUGAAGGCUUUCGGGUCGUAAAACUCUGUUGUUAGGGAAGAACAAGUACAAGAGUAACUGCUUGUACCU
Molecule: ribosomal RNA, 482 nt
Filed under: Bacillus sp. HSS-7008
Lineage: Bacteria; Bacillati; Bacillota; Bacilli; Caryophanales; Bacillaceae
Description: bacterial SSU rRNA
Rfam family: Bacterial small subunit ribosomal RNA
Source: RNAcentral